Engraulis encrasicolus (European anchovy) is the source of this 703-nucleotide long non-coding RNA. RefSeq lists it as uncharacterized. The record is from RefSeq and is a predicted model, not a curated record. Lineage: Eukaryota; Metazoa; Chordata; Actinopteri; Clupeiformes; Engraulidae. The transcript is spliced from 4 exons.
AGGACGCCAAGUUGGAAUCAUGGGGCCGUCUCAAAUUCGAGGAGGAUAUGACCAGUGGAGGAGGCCUCUUCAUAUACUACAAGGAGGACACCGUGACGUGCAAAUAAUUCCUCGUCAUCAUUCGCAAGGCGCUUUACUUCCCACACCAGAACCACCUGGAUGCAGCGGAGAUGGGGAUUCUCACGGGAGGUCUUACAUACCUAGGGCACCAUAUCCACUCAGAGAUCCAUACCCCCCACGCAAUCAGCCAUACCCCUCACCCAGACAGCCAUACCUGCCCAGGCAGACACAGCCACCCAGUCAGACACAGCCACCCGAACAGUCAUACCCACCCAGACAGCAAUGCACAUUCAAACAACCAUACCCACCUAGACAAAUACCAAAACAGUCAUACCCACCCAGACAGACACAGCCACCCAGUCAGCCACCCAGACAGCCUUACCCCUCACCCAGAGAACCAUAUCCACAGAGGGAACGAUUCCCAGCACGCAGGGAACCAUACCCCCCACACAAAGCACCACCCAGGGAACCAUACCCCCUACACGCAGAACCACCCAGGGAACCAUACCCCCCACACAGAGCACCACCCAGGCAACAAUAUCCUCCACACAGAGCACCACCUAUGGGACCAUACCCACUACACGUAGCACCACCCAGGGAACCAUACCCCCUACAUGCAGCACCACCCAGGCAACCAUACCCA